GGGGGUUAUAGUUUAA
RNAcentral lists this transfer RNA (16 nucleotides) under Collyriclum faba. RNAcentral's name for it is "partial tRNA-Thr". Lineage: Eukaryota; Metazoa; Platyhelminthes; Trematoda; Plagiorchiida; Collyriclidae. The record is from RNAcentral.